Ruditapes philippinarum (Manila clam) is the source of this 1434-nucleotide long non-coding RNA. RefSeq lists it as uncharacterized. The record is from RefSeq and is a predicted model, not a curated record. NCBI's taxonomy places the organism in Eukaryota, Metazoa, Mollusca, Bivalvia, Venerida, Veneridae. The transcript has 10 exons.
GCAUGUUAAACUAGAGGCUAGUGCAGCAGAGGAGCAGAAUUUAUUGUAUGAACAAAGUGAUCUUAGAAUUGAAGUGGUUGAACUCACAAGACUGGCUGCUAUUAAGGCUGAUGAAAGGGAACAGAAAGCUCGAGAUUUCAUGCGUGCUGAGAUGUCAAGUCAAAUUUUGCCAAGUUGUAUGAUGUUAUAAAGAAUGAUCGUAACAAGUGUGUGAACUUUAUUCAGACAUGUACACAGAAGCGGCAGAAAUGAGAGAGAAGAUCAAGAUCUUACAGAAUGACACAGCAGUCACUCAAAAAGACAGACAUCUAUAAAAACAGAGAUUACAACAUAUAAACAGUAUAGUAAUGAGAGAUGGUUUGAGGAAUGAGGUUGCCAAGCAGCAAAGAAUUGAGAAAGAAAUGCAUUAAAAAAUGUGAACAACAGAAAAUGGACAUUUCAAAAUUGAACACUAUGAUUAAUCAGGCAGAGGAACAGAUGACAAAAUUAAGAAAUAGAUAUGAAAAAGCCAUAACACAUAGGAAUGAGAGAGGUAUUGAAAGAAAGAAAAUUGAUUGAAAGAAAUGAGGAGGUGUGCAUUUUCUAGGAAAAAGUUAACAUUCAAGAUGAAAUGAUCCGGAAUGGUAACGUAGAGUUGCAAGCUGGGGAAGAAGAGAUCCGGUUUAUACAAAUGAACAAAGAGAAAUGCUCUCCGUGCUCAAACACCUAACAGAGUUAAUCUUGAAGGAGAACUAGUCACUUUACAAAUAAAGCAACAAGAUGUACAGAUCUGUACAAACGUGAGUCCAGCAUGUUGCUGGUGUCAUGAUGCCAACAAUACAGGUUUAGACAAGUGUGUUUGUGGGACGGCAUUUGAUCUUGUAUUCAAGGACAAUAGCACAUUGAAAUAUCGAACAGAUAGAUGGUGAUUUUAUGAAAUGUCCAUGGCAUAAAUUUGGUGGUUUGUGAACGGUAAGAUUGUUAAUUCGUGGAAUUCAGUUGCCAGGACCUCUUUUCUUGAUGGAAAGAUUUAAGAUGUACUGCCUGCCAGCAUCCGGGAAUCGUUAAAUGGAAAUUAGAGAGACACAAACUUCUGGGAGGACAGUGAAUUGACAUUUGUUUUUCUCAACAUGAAAAUGGAAUGAGACAUUCUAGUGGACUAAUUGAUGACACUUAAACUGUAGGGAUCCAAAAAUCUACAACAAUGAGAAAUUCAUCAAUAGAAGUUCAGUGAUAAACUCCAGUAGCAACUGUUCAAGGAAUUCAGAAACAAUAAUAUAGUGUUCCAACUCCAGUGAUAAACUCCAGUAACAGGUGUUCAAGGAAUUCAGAAUCAAUAAUAUAGUGUUCCAACUCCAGUGAUAAACUCCAGUAACAGGUGUUCAAGGAAUUCAAAAUCAGUUAUAUCAUAGUGUUCCAGCUCCAGUGAUAAACUCCAGUAACAGGUGUUCAAGG